This 497-nucleotide ribosomal RNA is filed under the name uncultured bacterium. RNAcentral's name for it is "partial 16S ribosomal RNA". It matches the Rfam family "Bacterial small subunit ribosomal RNA", at positions 28 to 507 of the family's 1533-position model. The record is from RNAcentral.
GAUGAACGCUGGCGGCGUGCCUAAUACAUGCAAGUCGAGCGAACGGACGAGAAGCUUGCUUCUCUGAUGUUAGCGGCGGACGGGUGAGUAACACGUGGAUAACCUACCUAUAAGACUGGGAUAACUUCGGGAAACCGGAGCUAAUACCGGAUAAUAUUUUGAACCGCAUGGUUCAAAAGUGAAAGACGGUCUUGCUGUCACUUAUAGAUGGAUCCGCGCUGCAUUAGCUAGUUGGUAAGGUAACGGCUUACCAAGGCAACGAUGCAUAGCCGACCUGAGAUGGUGAUCGGCCACACUGGAACUGAGACACGGUCCAGACUCCUACGGGAGGCAGCAGUAGGGAAUCUUCCGCAAUGGGCGAAAGCCUGACGGAGCAACGCCGCGUGAGUGAUGAAGGUCUUCGGAUCGUAAAACUCUGUUAUUAGGGAAGAACAUAUGUGUAAGUAACUGUGCACAUCUUGACGGUACCUAAUCAGAAAGCCACGGCUAACUACGUG